AAUGAAUGCUGGCGACAGGCCGAACACAUGCAAGUCGAACGAGUGGCGGACGGGUGAGUAAUGUGUGGGAGACUGCCUGAUGGAGGGGGAUAACUACUGGAACAGGUAGCUAAUACCGCGUACCAUCGGAUGUGCCACGAUGGGAUGAGCGUGUGGGGGAGGUAACGGCUCACCUAGGCGACGAUCCCUAGCUGGUCUGAGAGGAUGACCAGCCACACUGGAACUGAGACACGGUCCAGAAUCCUGCGGGAGGCAGCAGUGGGGAAUAUUGUGCAAUUGGCGAAAUCCUGAUCCAGCCAUGCCGCGUGUGUGAAGAAGGUCUUCGGAUUGAAAAGCACUUUAAGGUGGGAGGCGUUACCAACAGAAUAAGCACCGGCUAACUUCGUGCCAGCAGCCGCGGUAAUUC
This 406-nucleotide ribosomal RNA is filed under the name uncultured bacterium. RNAcentral describes it as "partial 16S ribosomal RNA". It matches the Rfam family "Bacterial small subunit ribosomal RNA", at positions 29 to 526 of the family's 1533-position model. The record is from RNAcentral.